ACCCCAAGGGAAAAUAUGGCUUUAUGUUAAUAUUGCAGCCAGUCAAAGCCACCCUUAUCACCACUGGCAUCAACUUCCGGAAAGAAACUGUAAUGGGGUGCAAGGGAAAGAAAUAAUAACAACAGGAGCAAAACAAGAGUAAACAUGAGAGCAGCUUUCCAAUGCUGGGAAUAGCUCCUGGACAGAAAAUUAAAUAAAUGAAUGAUCAUGCAGAGUAUGCCUCUAAACUUGCAUAGUAGGAGAGAGAGCUAAUGACUGCCAUGUAGCAAGAAGAUGUAAAGAAAGCUAAUUGCAACUGCAGCUGUUAUGAUCCAAUGUUGUCAGUGUUUGUUUUAUGUAUGACUCCUGCCACCAGAGGAUGGCUGUGGGUUUUUUUUCCUCUUUCUCUCUUAGGAGGUGGACACCUGGGCGUGCCUGCUGAGUAGUUGGGUGGAGUCUCUUCCUAUCCUCGGAUUGGAUAAUUGGUUGAUCACCUCCAGUAUUUAACUACCAGAUGACAGCCACCUGGCCCCCUCUCCACUAGCCUCCACCAUCCAACAAAGAGCAUGUGUUUUUGAUUCGUUGAAAGGCCUGAGCAUAAAUGGACUAAUGUUUUUUAAGUGGCAGCUAAAUAUACAGUUCGUCUGUUUCCUGGGGAGGGAAAGAGUCAUGUUUGACACACUCAGAGAUGGACUACGAUAUACCAUGAAAAGCCAGGCAGUUCAGUGCAGAUGAAAGUGGUAACAAUGCAGUACUGUGGUGAAGUUUACAGUAAUGCACUAUGCUUGACUGGUACAGAGCAGGCUGUGGUGUGAGGUUACAUCAAGGGUAGGAGCCAUCAAUUUAAAUUUAAGCUGUCUAUUGUGUACGACUGCAACGAUUCAUCGAUGAUGGCACAGUUCGGAGUCUGUUUGCACACCGCGAAGAAGCAAAGAGGCGGAGCCUUUACUGAGACGGUGAGCUCAGGUUGAGGGAAAGAAAACGUGUCAAAACAGCAGCGAUGUUCCUGUAAUCACCAUGAAAACCUUCACUGGUAAAAAGCGAGCGGGAGUCCUUCACCAAAGCACCUAGUCAACAAACUCCGACAUAAAGAAAAGCAAACUUUGUAGCUGCUCAAUCCACCGCUGUUUGUUUUACACAGCGUAAAAUCUACAGUAAGUCUCCAGAUGUUGUAUUAAAAUAAGCAGAUGAUCUGAUAACUUUGUUUGAUACCAGACUAAGUAAAUUAUACAGCUUGCUGAAGGUUGAAGGCAGCCGUCCUAUGUAAUAUGGAAGUAUACCUGCAGCAAGCAGGGGUGAGUCUAAAGGGGGGCAUGGGGUGUACUAGACCACAUGUAUUUCAAGGCUUUCAUAACAUUUUUCCAGAUUGAAAUAAUAUAAGAUAUAAAAAAAUAUAAAAAUAAAAGCUUUUUUCACAAGCUAAUUGUUUGUAAAGUUUGGACACUGAAUCAGUGUUAAUUAAUUAGUGUCUACAUCAUCAUAAUGUCCUUUUUCAGCAGCACAAAAACUUGCCUCCUAUUCACGUCACAAAGCCUUCCAAGAAGAGUAAAGAUACACUUUUAUGCCUUAGUUUAGACUGCAUAUAUGUAUGUGUAU
Oreochromis niloticus (Nile tilapia) is the source of this 1575-nucleotide long non-coding RNA. RefSeq lists it as uncharacterized. The record is from RefSeq and is a predicted model, not a curated record. The transcript is spliced from 5 exons. NCBI's taxonomy places the organism in Eukaryota, Metazoa, Chordata, Actinopteri, Cichliformes, Cichlidae.